Molecule: ribosomal RNA, 499 nt
Filed under: uncultured bacterium
Lineage: Bacteria
Description: bacterial SSU rRNA
Rfam family: Bacterial small subunit ribosomal RNA
Source: RNAcentral
AUUGAACGCUGGCGGCAUGCCUUACACAUGCAAGUCGAACGGUAACGCGGGGCAACCUGGCGACGAGUGGCGAACGGGUGAGUAAUAUAUCGGAACGUGCCCAGUAGUGGGGGAUAGCCCGGCGAAAGCCGGAUUAAUACCGCAUACGACCUAAGGGUGAAAGCGGGGGAUCGCAAGACCUCGCGCUAUUGGAGCGGCCGAUAUCAGAUUAGGUAGUUGGUGGGGUAAAGGCCUACCAAGCCGACGAUCUGUAGCUGGUCUGAGAGGACGACCAGCCACACUGGGACUGAGACACGGCCCAGACUCCUACGGGAGGCAGCAGUGGGGAAUUUUGGACAAUGGGCGCAAGCCUGAUCCAGCCAUGCCGCGUGCGGGAAGAAGGCCUUCGGGUUGUAAACCGCUUUGUCAGGGAAGAAAUACUUCUGGGUUAAUACCUCGGGAGGAGUGACGGUACCUGAAGAAUAAGCACCGGCUAACUACGUGCCAGCAGCCGCGGUAA